UACAGGGGGUGCAAACGUUGCUCGGAAUUAUUGGGCGUAAAGCGCGCGUAGGCGGUCUUGUAAGUCGGAUGUGAAAGCCCUUGGCUUAACCGAGGAAGUGCAUCCGAAACUGCAAGGCUUGAGUACGAAAGAGGAUCGCGGAAUUCCCGGUGUAGAGGUGAAAUUCGUAGAUAUCGGGAGGAACACCGGCGGCGAAGGCGGCGAUCUGGGUCGAGACUGACGCUGAGGCGCGAAAGCGUGGGGAGCAAACAGG
RNAcentral lists this ribosomal RNA (253 nucleotides) under uncultured bacterium. Its description in RNAcentral is "partial 16S ribosomal RNA". It matches the Rfam family "Bacterial small subunit ribosomal RNA", at positions 524 to 776 of the family's 1533-position model. The record is from RNAcentral.